UACGUAGGGUGCAAGCGUUGUCCGGAAUUAUUGGGCGUAAAGAGCUCGUAGGCGGUCUGUCACGUCUGCUGUGAAAACUCGGGGCUUAACCCCGGGCCUGCAGUGGGUACGGGCAGACUAGAGUUCGGUAGGGGAGACUGGAAUUCCUGGUGUAGCGGUGAAAUGCGCAGAUAUCAGGAGGAACACCGGUGGCGAAGGCGGGUCUCUGGGCCGAAACUGACGCUGAGGAGCGAAAGCGUGGGGAGCAAACAGG
Molecule: ribosomal RNA, 253 nt
Filed under: uncultured bacterium
Lineage: Bacteria
Description: partial 16S ribosomal RNA
Rfam family: Bacterial small subunit ribosomal RNA
Source: RNAcentral